UCGGGAAUUUUGCCCAAUGGACGAAAGUCUGAGGCAGCAACGCCGCGUGAGGGAUGAAGGCCUUCGGGUUGUAAACCUCUUUUCUCAGGGACGAUGAUGACGGUACCUGAGGAAUAAGCCACGGCAAACUACGUGCCAGCAGCCGCGGUAAUACGUAGGUGGCAAGCGUUGUCCGGAUUUACUGGGCGUAAAGAGCGCGCAGGCGGUCGGUCAAGUCGGAUGUGAAAGCCCCCGGCUCAACUGGGGAGGGUCAUUCGAUACUGAUCGACUCGAAGGCAGGAGAGGGAAGCGGAAUUCCCGGUGUAGUGGUGAAAUGCGUAGAUAUCGGGAGGAACACCAGAGGCGAAGGCGGCUUCCUGGCCUGUUCUUGACGCUGAGGCGCGAAAGCCAGGGGAGCAAACGGG
This 404-nucleotide ribosomal RNA is filed under the name Bacillota bacterium. Its description in RNAcentral is "Firmicutes bacterium partial 16S ribosomal RNA". It matches the Rfam family "Bacterial small subunit ribosomal RNA", at positions 355 to 776 of the family's 1533-position model. The record is from RNAcentral. Lineage: Bacteria; Bacillati; Bacillota.